CUGAGAGGCUGUAGAAUUUAGAGGAACUGGAAAAGAAUUCCAGUAAAAGAUGGGAUUUUAAGUUGAGAUUUAGAGGAAGCCAGGGGAGAGGGUAAGCAUGAUAGGAAUGGCAGGGCAGCCUUUGAUUUGACUUAAGGACAACACUUAAGGACAGAAGCUGUCCUAAACCAGGACAGGAUGUGUCUGGAGCUAAGGUGACCCCCGCUGCACAUCUUCAGCUGAAACCGAACAGCUACCUCAGCCUAACACUAUGACAGCUAUGUGCCUAUGGUCCCACCUUGGGGGUGCAAAGACAAUAAAAAGUUUGGGAGGGGGUUACAUUCUAUUGGAAAGAGGUGACAUAAAUAUGUAUGUGAUCAUUUGAGGAAAUACAGAGCAGGGCUUCUUAAAUUUUUUUUCUCUCAUGACCACUUUUUGCCCAAGAAAUUUUUAUGUGACCCCAUAUAUAAAAUAGGUAUACUAAUCAAACAUUUACUGAUAAUCAUUAAGAAAUUUACUUUAGAACAAUUUUUUGUUAUACAUAUAAUUUUACCAUUUAAGAAAGACAAAAGCAAAUUUGCAUUCUAAUGAGAUGGAUGUAUUUGUUUAUUUUUAUCUAAAGAAUUAAAUCUUGGGGGAAUAAGUUGUUACCUUUUACUGCUGCCAAAUUUUUCCAGACCCCCACAUUCAGUUACCCACACUUUUUGAAGCUUUGUGGUAGAACAUUAAUACUUAGGAGGCCCCAGGAAGGCUUUACAAAGCAGGUGGUCUAUGAGCUGUCUUAAGGAAAGUUAGUAAUUCUAAGGGGAGAAAUUGGAGAUGGGGCCGGGGGUGCAGUCCAGGUCUCAGGCAUUGUCUGCAAAAGUGUAAUGAAGAAGAUUGAAUGUCAGGCAUGAAGACUAAUUGCAAACAGGUCAGUCUGGCUAGAAGGUAGAGUUUAUGAAAAAGACCAAUUUGGAAUGAGGCUAGAAAGACCACCUUGUGAAUUAAAUGCCCAACUGGGAAAUUUGCAUUUUAUUCCAAAGUCAAAAAGGGGUCUCUUGGAGUGGCUUCUUGAAUUUGAGUGUGAUAAGAUUGGGUGUGCUUUAGGAAGCUUACUUGGGCUACUUAGGUGAAGAACAAAUAGGAGGGGGAAAAACCUAAAAAGAGAAGUGACCAAUUAGAAAAUGAAAGAUGAAAGAAGAGGAAGGAAAAUGCUAUUUGUAUCCAGAGAAAGAAUAGAUAGAUAGAUGGAUGGAUAGAUGGAUAGUAAAAUGCAUAUAUAUACACAAAGGACCACCUCCUUUGUAAAUAUAUACAUACAUAUUUGUAUCUAAUAAUCAUCUGGGCAGGGCAGGGAAAGAAGAAAAUUUUGGAACUUAAUUUUAUUUAAAAUGAAUCUUUAGCUGGAUAAAUUAUGGUAUAUGAAUGUUAUAGAAUAUUAUGAGAAACGACCAUCAGGAUGAUUUCAGAGAGGCUUGGAGAGACUUACAUGAAUUGAUGCUAAGUGAAAUGAGCAGAACCGACAACGACAAGAUUAUUUCUGAUGGAUGUGGCUCUCUUCAACAAUGAGAUGAUUCAAACCAGUUCCAAAUGUUCAGUGAUGAAGAGAGCUCCUACACCCAGAGAGAGGACUGUGGGAACUGAGUGUGGACCACAACAUAGCAUUUUCACUCUUUCUGUUGUUGUUUGCUUGCAUUAUAUUUUCUUUCUAGGUUUUUUUCUUUCUUAAUCCGAUUUUUCUUGUGCAGCAAGAUAACUGUAUAAAUAUGUAUACAUAUAUUGGAUUUAACAUAUUUAACAUGAAUUGGAUUACCUACCAUCUAGAGGAGGGAGGAGGGAGAAGGAAGGGAAAUUUUGGAACAGAAGAUUUUGCAAGGGUCAAUGUUGAAAAAUUAUCCAUGCAUUUGUUUGUAAAUAAAAAGCUUUAAUAAAAUAAAAAUUUC
This is a long non-coding RNA of Sarcophilus harrisii (Tasmanian devil), 1904 nucleotides long. Lineage: Eukaryota; Metazoa; Chordata; Mammalia; Dasyuromorphia; Dasyuridae. The record is from Ensembl.